UCGAGCGAACAGAUAAGGAGCUUGCUCCUUUGACGUUAGCGGCGGACGGGUGAGUAACACGUGGGUAACCUACCUAUAAGACUGGGAUAACUUCGGGAAACCGGAGCUAAUACCGGAUAACAUUUGGAACCGCAUGGUUCUAAAGUGAAAGAUGGUUUUGCUAUCACUUAUAGAUGGACCCGCGCCGUAUUAGCUAGUUGGUAAGGUAACGGCUUACCAAGGCGACGAUACGUAGCCGACCUGAGAGGGUGAUCGGCCACACUGGAACUGAGACACGGUCCAGACUCCUACGGGAGGCAGCAGUAGGGAAUCUUCCGCAAUGGGCGAAAGCCUGACGGAGCAACGCCGCGUGAGUGAUGAAGGGUUUCGGCUCGUAAAACUCUGUUAUUAGGGAAGAACAAACGUGUAAGUAACUGUGCACGUCUUGACGGUACCUAAUCAGAAAGCCACGGCUAACUACGUGCCAGCAGCCGCGGUAAUACGUAGGUGGCAAGCGUUAUCCGGAAUUAUUGGGCGUAAAGCGCGCGUAGGCGGUUUCUUAAGUCUGAUGUGAAAGCCCACGGCUCAACCGUGGAGGGUCAUUGGAAACUGGGAAACUUGAGUGCAGAAGAGGAAAGUGGAAUUCCAUGUGUAGCGGUGAAAUGCGCAGAGAUAUGGAGGAACACCAGUGGCGAAGGCGACUUUCUGGUCUGUAACUGACGCUGAUGUGCGAAAGCGUGGGGAUCAAACAGGAUUAGAUACCCUGGUAGUCCACGCCGUAAACGAUGAGUGCUAAGUGUUAGGGGGUUUCCGCCCCUUAGUGCUGCAGCUAACGCAUUAAGCACUCCGCCUGGGGAGUACGACCGCAAGGUUGAAACUCAAAGGAAUUGACGGGGACCCGCACAAGCGGUGGAGCAUGUGGUUUAAUUCGAAGCAACGCGAAGAACCUUACCAAAUCUUGACAUCCUUUGAAAACUCUAGAGAUAGAGCCUUCCCCUUCGGGGGACAAAGUGACAGGUGGUGCAUGGUUGUCGUCAGCUCGUGUCGUGAGAUGUUGGGUUAAGUCCCGCAACGAGCGCAACCCUUAAGCUUAGUUGCCAUCAUUAAGUUGGGCACUCUAGGUUGACUGCCGGUGACAAACCGGAGGAAGGUGGGGAUGACGUCAAAUCAUCAUGCCCCUUAUGAUUUGGGCUACACACGUGCUACAAUGGACAAUACAAAGGGCAGCUAAACCGCGAGGUCAUGCAAAUCCCAUAAAGUUGUUCUCAGUUCGGAUUGUAGUCUGCAACUCGACUACAUGAAGCUGGAAUCGCUAGUAAUCGUAGAUCAGCAUGCUACGGUGAAUACGUUCCCGGGUCUUGUACACACCGCCCGUCACACCACGAGAGUUUGUAACACCCGAAGCCGGUGGAGUAACCAUUU
RNAcentral lists this ribosomal RNA (1401 nucleotides) under Staphylococcus saprophyticus. RNAcentral's name for it is "bacterial SSU rRNA". It matches the Rfam family "Bacterial small subunit ribosomal RNA". RNAcentral also lists the same sequence under 1 other name. The record is from RNAcentral. Lineage: Bacteria; Bacillati; Bacillota; Bacilli; Caryophanales; Staphylococcaceae.